RNAcentral lists this ribosomal RNA (497 nucleotides) under uncultured bacterium. RNAcentral describes it as "partial 16S ribosomal RNA". It matches the Rfam family "Bacterial small subunit ribosomal RNA", at positions 28 to 507 of the family's 1533-position model. The record is from RNAcentral.
GACGAACGCUGGCGGCGUGCCUAAUACAUGCAAGUUGAGCGAUGAAGAUUGGUGCUUGCACCAAUUUGAAGAGCAGCGAACGGGUGAGUAACGCGUGGGGAAUCUGCCUUUGAGCGGGGGACAACAUUUGGAAACGAAUGCUAAUACCGCAUAACAACUUUAAACAUAAGUUUUAAGUUUGAAAGAUGCAAUUGCAUCACUCAAAGAUGAUCCCGCGUUGUAUUAGCUAGUCGGUGAGGUAAAGGCUCACCAAGGCGAUGAUACAUAGCCGACCUGAGAGGGUGAUCGGCCACAUUGGGACUGAGACACGGCCCAAACUCCUACGGGAGGCAGCAGUAGGGAAUCUUCGGCAAUGGACGAAAGUCUGACCGAGCAACGCCGCGUGAGUGAAGAAGGUUUUCGGAUCGUAAAACUCUGUUGGUAGAGAAGAACGUUGGUGAGAGUGGAAAGCUCAUCAAGUGACGGUAACUACCCAGAAAGGGACGGCUAACUACGUG